CCUACGGGUGGCAGCAGUGGGGAAUAUUGGACAAUGGGCGAAAGCCUGAUCCAGCCAUGCCGCGUGUGUGAAGAAGGCCUUCGGGUUGUAAAGCACUUUCAGUGGGGAAGAAAGCCUUGGGGCUAAUACCCUCGAGGAAGGACAUCACCCACAGAAGAAGCACCGGCUAACUCCGUGCCAGCAGCCGCGGUAAUACGGAGGGUGCGAGCGUUAAUCGGAAUUACUGGGCGUAAAGCGCGCGUAGGCGGUCUGAUAAGCCGGUUGUGAAAGCCCCGGGCUCAACCUGGGAACGGCAUCCGGAACUGUCAGGCUAGAGUGCAGGAGAGGAAGGUAGAAUUCCCGGUGUAGCGGUGAAAUGCGUAGAGAUCGGGAGGAAUACCAGUGGCGAAGGCGGCCUUCUGGACUGACACUGACGCUGAGGUGCGAAAGCGGGGGUAGCAAACAGGAUUAGAUACCCUAGUAGUC
Molecule: ribosomal RNA, 465 nt
Filed under: Vreelandella stevensii
Lineage: Bacteria; Pseudomonadati; Pseudomonadota; Gammaproteobacteria; Oceanospirillales; Halomonadaceae
Description: partial 16S ribosomal RNA
Rfam family: Bacterial small subunit ribosomal RNA
Source: RNAcentral